GCCUACGACCAUAUCACCCUGAAUGCGCCCGAUCUCGUCUGAUCUCGGAAGCUAAGCAUGGUCGAGCCUGAUUAGUACUUGGAUGGGAGACUGCCUGGGAAUACCAGGUGUUGUAGGCU
Petromyzon marinus (sea lamprey) is the source of this 119-nucleotide ribosomal RNA. Lineage: Eukaryota; Metazoa; Chordata; Hyperoartia; Petromyzontiformes; Petromyzontidae. The record is from Ensembl.